Molecule: ribosomal RNA, 2505 nt
Filed under: Triticum aestivum (bread wheat)
Lineage: Eukaryota; Viridiplantae; Streptophyta; Magnoliopsida; Poales; Poaceae
Description: partial small subunit ribosomal RNA
Source: RNAcentral
AUGGCGACGCCCAUGGAAGAGGACCGGCUGGAGUCGGCGGCGGCGCCGCCCGCGGACGUCGCCGGAGGAGGCGCGGAAGACGGGGAGAAGCCCGACGCGCCGCCCAUGGAAUCGGACUCAGACUCUUCGGACUCCGACGACGAAGGGGACGCCGGCGACGAGCUCCGCAUCCAGGCCCUCGAGCGCGCCCUCCUGGAGCAGCCUCUCGACUACGAAUCCCACGUUCAGCUCAUACAAUGCUUGAGAAAAUCCGGGAAUAUCGAGAAGCUUCGUGCUGCAAGGGAGGAGAUGAACAAGUACUUCCCUCUCACACCGAAGAUGUGGCAGGAUUGGGCAAAGGAUGAGAUUUCAUUGAGCUCUGGUCGUGGAUCUUUUGAUGAUAUUGAAAAACUCUAUGAACGUGGUGUGCAAGAAUAUCUGAAUAUUAAGUUAUGGCGGGAUUACCUUGAUUAUGUUGAAGAGCAUGAUCAGUCAGUGUCUCAAUGUUCGCAAUCUGGUCUCUCGAAAAUGAGGGAUUUGUAUGAGCGUGCAAUCACUGCAGGGGGUCUACACGUGACCGAAGGCAGCAAACUAUGGGAAGCCUACAGGGAAUAUGAGAUGGCUAUUUUGACCAUAAAUGAUGGUAAUGAUGAGGAGAAGGCAAAGCAGGUUCAACGUGUCCGCGCGCUCUUCCACCGCCAGUUAUCUGUGCCUUUGGCUGACAUUGAGUCAACACUUGCUGCGUAUAAGAGUUGGGAAGCUGAAGAAGGCAAUACAAGGGACCCAGAUUCCCAGGUUGAUGAUGUUCCCCCAAAUGUUUUAUCUGCUUACAAAAAGGCCAGCGAGAUGUACAAUGCACGAAAGCAGUACGAGGAUGAACUAAGCGUCGUGGCUGAAUCCGAGGCUAACAAACUACAAGUGUUCCUGAAAUACAUCAAAUUUGAGAAGUCUUUUGGUGACCCUGCUCGUGUCCAAGUUUUAUACGAACGGGCCGUUUCUGAGCUUCCCGUUUCAAGUGAUCUAUGGAUGGGAUACACGAGUUACCUGGACAGAACCCUAAAGGUACCUGCUAUACUAAAAAGUGUUUACCACAGAGCGACGAGAAACUGUACAUGGGUUAGUGACCUCUGGGUCCACUACUUGCUGUCUUUGGAGCGCAUUCGUGCAUCUGAAGACGAACUGCGACAUGUCUUUGAGCUAGCCAUUCAAUGUUCUUUCCCAAGCAUGAACGAGUACCUCAAUAUUUAUCUUACUCGAGUUGAUAGUUUAAGACGGAGAAUGCCAACUGGCUUGGAUUUCGAACUGAUUAGGCAGACAUUCGUGGAUGCUGCUGAGUUCCUCUCACCACAACUAGGAAUUGAGGAGCUAUUACUCUUGCAUGCAUACUGGGCUAAAUUAGAGUGUAAUAUUGGCAAAGAUAUAGCUGCAGCACGCGGAGUUUGGGAAAAUGCUCUCAAGAAAAGUGGGUCUGUUUUGGAGGUUUGGCAGCACUAUAUUUCAAUGGAGAUAGAAAGGGGGCAUACUCAUGAGGCAAGAUCACUUUACAAGCGUUGUUAUAGCAAAAAAUUUGCUGGGUCUGGAUCAGAGGCUGUAUGUCAUGCGUGGAUAAGAUUUGAAAGGGAGCAUGGCACCUUGGAUGAUUAUGACCUUGCUAUAAAAAAGGUCACCCCUCGUUUGAAGGAGCUUAUAAUGUUCAAGGCUCAGCAGGAGGCUAAAUCGGACCCAUCCUCAGCCCCCAAAGAAACUUCUUAUGCAAAUGAUUCCUCUCAGAAAAGAAAGCCAAGUAAAAUGACCAGUAAAGUGCAGCCUCCUGCUAAAAAAAGGAAAGAUAAUCCACCUAAAAAGACCGUGUCAUCAGAUGACCACAGAUCGAAGGAACAAAGCACAGACAGCCAUCUUCAAGAAGGUGGAGAGGUCAGCAAAGGGAACGCCGAGGCGCCUGUGGAAAUGAAAGUUGAAGGUGACAGCAAAGGAGGAAAUACAAGUUCAAAUCAACCGAAGCCGUACUUCUACAGUGACAAAUGCACUGCCUACAUGUCAAAUAUAGACUUGAAAGCAACUGAGCUACACAUCCGUGGUUUCUUUUCUGACAUUGGUGGCGUGGUAGACAUAAGGUUACUGAGGGACAGAUCCACGAAAAAAUCAAGGGGGCUGGCGUAUGUGGACUUUUCAGACAAGGAUCAUCUUGAAGCAGCCAUUAGAAAAAACAAACAAAAGUUGCUCAGUAAGAAAGUAAGUAUUGCUCCUUCAGAUCCAAGCAAGAGUAAGAAGAACCGUGAAGCAGGCACUUCCUCCAAAGAUAAAUUGCCCUCUGGAGGUGAUCAUGGUGAAAAAGCGCCAGUCGACGGUACUUCAGAGAAGGAGAUGCCCAAAGGUUCGACGAAAAUCACAGGCAAGAACACAUUAUUUGCGCCGCGGGCUUUGGUCAAACCACUUGGAUGGAACAAGAAAGACGAGAAACCAGAUGUUGCUGCGGAAGAGCUGAAGUCGAAUGAUGAGUUCAGAAAUCUGUUGCUUAAGAAGUGA